This 1510-nucleotide ribosomal RNA is filed under the name metagenome. Its description in RNAcentral is "bacterial LSU rRNA". It matches the Rfam family "Bacterial large subunit ribosomal RNA", at positions 1449 to 2925 of the family's 2925-position model. The record is from RNAcentral.
AAAAAAGAUAGCGUUGAAACAAGCAGGGACGGAGAAGGAUAGGUCAAGCAGCGGGCAUGGUUCGCUGUUCAAGCCUGUAGGUCGUUCGAAUAGGAGUCAAGAAGACACAAACGUUCAAACAUUAGGCCGAGAGGUGAUGAGGUGCCUUCGGGCAACAACUUGAUAAUUCCACGCUUCCAAGAAAAUCUGCGUGUAGAGCUACUUUGGAAUCCGUACUAUAAACCGACUCAGGUGGGUGAGAAGAGUAUUCUAAGGCGCGUGAGAGAACCCUGGUUAAGGAACUCUGCAAACUGACACCGUAACUUCGGGAGAAGGUGUGCCCUUUAGCGUGAUCCGAUUUACUCGGUGAGCGUCGAGGGGUUGCAGAGAAAUGGGGGUUGUGACUGUUUACUAAAAACCUAGCACUCUGCGAAGUCGAAAGACGACGUAUAGGGUGUGAUGCCUGCCCGGUGCUGGAAGGUUAAGGGGACGAGUCAGCGAAAGCGAAGCUCCGAACCGAAGCCCCAGUAAACGGCGGCCGUAACUAUAACGGUCCUAAGGUAGCAAAAUUCCUUGUCGGGUAAGUUCCGACCUGCACGAAUGGCAUAACAACAUCCCCGCUGUCUCGAUCAGGGACUCAGCGAAAUUGUAUUGGGGGUGAAGAUACCCUCUACCCGCAGCAAGACGGAAAGACCCUAUGAACCUUUACUGCAGCUUGGCAGUGAGUUUCGGAUGAUUCUGCGUAGGAUAAGUGGGAGGCUUUGAGACCGGGCUUCUGGGUUCGGUGGAGCCAACGUUGAAAUACCACUCUGAAUUAUCUGGGAUUCUAACCUGCACCCAUAACCUGGGUGAGGGACACUGUCUGGUGGGCAGUUUGACUGGGGCGGUCGCCUCCUAAAAAGUAACGGAGGCGUGCGAAGGUUCUCUUAGCCUGAUUGGAAGCCAGGCGUUAAGUGCAAAUGCAGAAGAGAGCUUAACUGCGAGACCGACAGGUCGAGCAGGUGCGAAAGCAGGCAUUAGUGAUCCGGUGGUUCCGCAUGGAAGGGCCAUCGCUUAUCGGAUAAAAGGUACUCUAGGGAUAACAGGCUGAUCGCGCCUGAGAGUUCACAUCGGCGGCGCGGUUUGGCACCUCGAUGUCGGCCCAUCGCAUCCUGGGGCUGGAGCAGGUCCCAAGGGUUCGGCUGUUCGCCGAUUAAAGCGGUACGCGAGCUGGGUUUAAAACGUCGUGAGACAGUUUGGUCCCUAUCUGCUGUGGGCGAAGGAUACUUGAGAGGAGCUGACUUUAGUACGAGAGGACCAAGUUGGACGUACCCCUGGUGAGCCAGUUGUUACGCCAGUAGUAUAGCUGGGUAGCCAUGUACGGAACGGAUAACCGCUGAAAGCAUCUAAGCGGGAAGCCGGCCUCAAGACCAGGUAUCCCUGUCGCAAGACACUAAAGACUCGUUGUAGACUACAACGUUGAUAGGCCAGAGGUGGAAGUGUGGCAACAUACGGAGCUGACUGGUACUAAUAAGUCGUGAGGCUUGUUCAU